UACGUAGGGUGCGAGCGUUAAUCGGAAUUACUGGGCGUAAAGCGUGCGUAGGCGGUCCGCGAAGUCUGAUGUGAAAGCCCCGGGCUCAACCUGGGAACUGCAUUGGAAACUAACGGGCUCGAGUGUGGCAGAGGGGGGUGGAAUUCCACGUGUAGCAGUGAAAUGCGUAGAGAUGUGGAGGAAUACCGAUGGCGAAGGCAGCCCCCUGGGAUAACACUGACGCUCAUGCACGAAAGCGUGGGGAGCAAACAGG
RNAcentral lists this ribosomal RNA (253 nucleotides) under uncultured bacterium. RNAcentral describes it as "partial 16S ribosomal RNA". It matches the Rfam family "Bacterial small subunit ribosomal RNA", at positions 524 to 776 of the family's 1533-position model. The record is from RNAcentral.